RNAcentral lists this ribosomal RNA (244 nucleotides) under Salmonella enterica subsp. enterica serovar Typhimurium str. STm12. RNAcentral describes it as "partial 16S ribosomal RNA". It matches the Rfam family "Bacterial small subunit ribosomal RNA", at positions 319 to 554 of the family's 1533-position model. The record is from RNAcentral. Lineage: Bacteria; Pseudomonadati; Pseudomonadota; Gammaproteobacteria; Enterobacterales; Enterobacteriaceae.
CUGAGACACGGCCCAGACUCCUACGGGAGGCAGCAGUAGGGAAUCUUCGGCAAUGGGGGCAACCCUGACCGAGCAACGCCGCGUGAGUGAAGAAGGUUUUCGGAUCGUAAAGCUCUGUUGUUAGAGAAGAAUGAUGGUGGGAGUGGAAAAUCCACCAAGUGACGGUAACUAACCAGAAAGGGACGGCUAACUACGUGCCAGCAGCCGCGGUAAUACGUAGGUCCCGAGCGUUGUCCGGAUUUAU